This 389-nucleotide ribosomal RNA is filed under the name Escherichia coli. Its description in RNAcentral is "partial 23S ribosomal RNA". It matches the Rfam family "Bacterial large subunit ribosomal RNA", at positions 2410 to 2798 of the family's 2925-position model. The record is from RNAcentral. Lineage: Bacteria; Pseudomonadati; Pseudomonadota; Gammaproteobacteria; Enterobacterales; Enterobacteriaceae.
UCAUAGUGAUCCGGUGGUUCUGAAUGGAAGGGCCAUCGCUCAACGGAUAAAAGGUACUCCGGGGAUAACAGGCUGAUACCGCCCAAGAGUUCAUAUCGACGGCGGUGUUUGGCACCUCGAUGUCGGCUCAUCACAUCCUGGGGCUGAAGUAGGUCCCAAGGGUAUGGCUGUUCGCCAUUUAAAGUGGUACGCGAGCUGGGUUUAGAACGUCGUGAGACAGUUCGGUCCCUAUCUGCCGUGGGCGCUGGAGAACUGAGGGGGGCUGCUCCUAGUACGAGAGGACCGGAGUGGACGCAUCACUGGUGUUCGGGUUGUCAUGCCAAUGGCACUGCCCGGUAGCUAAAUGCGGAAGAGAUAAGUGCUGAAAGCAUCUAAGCACGAAACUUGCC